This 573-nucleotide long non-coding RNA is filed under the name Sorghum bicolor (sorghum). RNAcentral's name for it is "long non-coding RNA (SBIC_LNC010671)". Lineage: Eukaryota; Viridiplantae; Streptophyta; Magnoliopsida; Poales; Poaceae. The record is from RNAcentral.
ACUGGCCAGGAAACGCAAGGGCGAGGGCGACUCCAGGACCUGGCAAAACGCAGGAUUGACGGCUUCAAGGACGCUGCAGGGCUGAGGUGCGACGUCCUCGUCGGCUUCAAGGACAUGCGAGCGAGGGCGAGGAAAACUCCAAGACCUGGCAACGCAGGUCGGGCUCGGGCGUCAGGCGACGGCGUUGGGUGAGGGCGAGGGCAACCUGGCAACGCAGGUCAGACGACAGUGUCGGGCGUCGGGCGAGGGCGAGGGCGACCUAGCAACACAGGUCGGGCGUUGGGCUGCGGCGUCGGGGGUGAGGGCGAGGGUGAGGGCGACUAUCUAGACCAGGCAACGUAGGUCGGGCGUCGGUGGCGAGGGCGAGGGCGACGGCGUCAGGGGCGAACGGCGACUCUCCAGACCUGGCGUCGGGGGCGAGGGCGACUCUCCAGACCUUGCAACACAGGUCGGGCGUCGGUGGUCGAGCGUCGGGUGAGGGUGACGACGUCGAGGGGGCUCCAGGACGUCGCUGAUUGCGGUUUCUUUCCUUACCGAAGACUACGUAGGAUUGGAAAGAGAUGCAAUUUCAUA